UCGCGAGAUUCGGACGUGCGUCUACUUAAAGUGCGUCCGUAUAUGCCUACUUACCUACUAUAUAGUAGGGGAAAAUAGUACGUGAAAUGAGUAGUAUGUCCGAAAUCCUCAGUAAUCAUAAAAGAGUAGUCGAGAAGUUCCCGGAUGGCUUACUGCUCCCGCCCAGAUUCUGAAGUGAUCAUCCGAUGGACACUCUUCUAUCCCAGGAGGCCACGGGAGAAGAUACGUCAUAAUCGAACACGGAGGAGAAAAGCAGCGCGGAUGUUUUUAAAUGGACAGAUGAUCACGUGUGUUUAUCCGGUGGAGAGAGGCUGAUGAAGGAAUGAUGCUGUAAAAGGCUUUGAAGCUUUUGUGGAGCAGGAACUGCAAGGAAAGAUGACGGCGGCAUUUGUGGGGAAAAGAAACCAGCUGGGAUUGAACAGCGUGAAGGGAUGAUCCCCAUGGAGUAACCUGGAGUAAAGUGUCUUGAUCAAGGACAAGACGUUCUCGGAGAUCGAACCAGCAACAUUCUGCUUACCUUUAGCCCACUACACCACUAAAAUAAUAAAGCUGAAACAAAAAAAUGUCAUGUAAUUGUAAAAAUAUUGAAUGAAAUAUGGCAAGAAACAGAAUGCUGACAUGAAUGAAUUGUACAAUGCUUUAAUCUGUUUAUUUAGUUAUGCUGAUGGAGAGCACAUGAAUGUUUGCAGCAGACACAGCAGCAGCCAGAUUGUCCCGCACAUCUUCUCCCACUCUUGCUUCAAGGUUGUGGGGUUCAGGGGUCCAUCAUCAUCUUCCUCAUCCUCUGGGUCAAAGAUGCCCCCAUUGAGAAGAGCAGCAAAGACAGGCAAAGGUGUUCACGGUGGUCAGCUGCUUCAUCAAAAUAAAGCUGCAGAAUUUGCACAGCUGUGUUGAGAUGGCAGCAGGGCUGAAAUAUGUGAUUGUAAGAACAAUACAUUUGAAUAAAACUUUGUUUCAUGCUUUGUUUCAUUUA
This is a long non-coding RNA of Megalobrama amblycephala (Wuchang bream), 973 nucleotides long. RefSeq lists it as uncharacterized. The transcript is spliced from 4 exons. The record is from RefSeq and is a predicted model, not a curated record. Lineage: Eukaryota; Metazoa; Chordata; Actinopteri; Cypriniformes; Xenocyprididae.